AAUAGAUACCCAGGUAGUCCAUGCCGUAAACGAUGUCUACUAGCCGUUGGGGCCUUUGAGGCUUUAGUGGCGCAGCUAACGCGAUAAGUAGACCGCCUGGGGAGUACGGUCGCAAGACUAAAACUCAAAUGAAUUGACGGGGGCCCGCACAAGCGGUGGAGCAUGUGGUUUAAUUCGAUGCAACGCGAAGAACCUUACCUGGUCUUGACAUACAGAGAACUUUCCAGAGAUGGAUUGGUGCCUUCGGGAACUCUGAUACAGGUGCUGCAUGGCUGUCGUCAGCUCGUGUCGUGAGAUGUUGGGUUAAGUCCCGCAACGAGCGCAACCCUUUUCCUUACUUGCCAUCGGGUCAUGCCGGGAACUUUAAGGAUACUGCCAGUGACAAACUGGAGGAAGGCGGGGGCGACGUCAAGUCAUCAUGGCCCUUACGACCAGGGCUACACACGUGCUACAAUGGUCGGUACAAAGGGUUGCUACCUAGCGAUAGGAUGCUAAUCUCAAAAAGCCGAUCGUAGUCCGGA
This 521-nucleotide ribosomal RNA is filed under the name uncultured bacterium. RNAcentral's name for it is "bacterial SSU rRNA". It matches the Rfam family "Bacterial small subunit ribosomal RNA", at positions 777 to 1297 of the family's 1533-position model. The record is from RNAcentral.